This 422-nucleotide ribosomal RNA is filed under the name uncultured Synergistota bacterium. RNAcentral's name for it is "bacterial SSU rRNA". It matches the Rfam family "Bacterial small subunit ribosomal RNA", at positions 338 to 774 of the family's 1533-position model. Lineage: Bacteria; Thermotogati; Synergistota. The record is from RNAcentral.
CCUACGGGAGGCAGCAGUGGGGAAUAUUGGGCAAUGGGGGAAACCCUGACCCAGCGACGCCGCGUGGAGGAAGGAGCCCUUCGGGGUGUAAACUCCUGUUGUAAGGGAAGAAGACAGUGACGGUACCUUACGAGGAAGCCCCGGCAAACUACGUGCCAGCAGCCGCGGUAACACGUAGGGGGCGAGCGUUGUCCGGAAUUACUGGGCGUAAAGCGCACGCAGGCGGAUGCGCGCGUCGGCUGUGAAAUGCACCGGCUCAACCGGUGCACUGCGGUCGAUACGGCGCAUCUGGAGUGCGGGAGAGGGAAGCGGAAUUCCCGGUGUAGCGGUGAAAUGCGUAGAUAUCGGGAGGAACGCCGGUGGCGAAGGCGGCUUCCUGGCCCGCAACUGACGCUCAUGUGCGAAAGCCAGGGGAGCGAACC